AGACUGUAGACUUUCGAUUUCUAAGGAUGCAAAUCCAAAAGCAACCCUCGACAAAAUCGGCUGUCUACAGACUGUCCUGAGCCUGAAAUGGAUAAAAAGAAAGGGUGAGUUUUUACAAACCCAGUGAGUAAGCAAAAUUCAUCUAUAACAUCUAAAGCCGAGUAAAUGGAGACAGUUAAAUCAUCCCAUCAUAAUAUAGUUCAUAACAUUCAAAACUCAUUUAAAUUCCUAUAAAACAAUUACAUUUCAUCAAAAUAAUCAACAAGGCUUAUGAUUCUCUUAAAAACUUGGCUUGUGCCAAAACUCAUACUCAGUGACACCUUAGCCCGAGCAUCCAAUCGAGUCCACCAAGGAUGUUAAAAUGACAUAUACCCAUAAAACAUGUUUUUACUUUUAAAACAUAGCCAUUCCUUGGCGUUGGCUGAGUUUCAUCCUCACGUGGUGGUUCUAUGUGAAGUGAACUCUAAACUUACCUUAGGAGAUACCUUCUGCGCCUCUCGUACUAAGGUAAAAUAUGAUAGAGUUUAUUGUGCCCCUCUAAUAGGCUGGUCCACGGAAACCCACCCACUGCAAUAAGCUAAAUACAUAACCCACAAAAUUAAUAAAAUUUCGGCAGCAUAACAUGGCUAAUAUAGUACUAACCAACCUGUCAAUGUAAGACAAAACAAUUUAUAUAAUUCACAAAACCACAAUUUCAGCCAUUCAUGCUACCACAAUUUCAUAAGCCAUCAAUUCAAAUCAUGUAUAUAUAUAUAUAUAUAAUACGAAUGUAUAGCCUCCACUUACUNCAUGGCUAAUAUAGUACUAUCCAACCUGUCAAUGUAAGACAAAACAAUUUAUAUAAUUCACAAAACCACAAUUUCAGCCAUUCAUGCUACCACAAUUUCAUAAGCCAUCAAUUCAAAUCAUGUAUAUAUAUAUAUAUAUAAUACGAAUGUAUAGCCUCCACUUACUUUAUUUCGAAAAUCAACAUUUAGUUUCAGAAUAAUUUAUAAAUCUCAUUCAUUUAACCAACAUUUAAAAUGUAAAACAUAAUAAUUUGCAAAUUAAGUGCCUUAUUCUUUAAAAUCUUAAAACAAGUAUAAACCCCUUUAGAUAAUUAAGAUGAACAUCUGAUUACUCACAAUAGCAGGAGUUUGGAGUAUCCCUAUUCUUGGUCCUUGGGCACAAUAUCUUUACCCUUAUCAGAUGGCUCACCACCUAUACAUAAUACACGACACAUAAUUCAAUAUAUUUGUGCCAAACUGUUAUAAAACUAUUUCAGGCUCUAUAUGAAUGCAUGACAUUGAAUGAGAAUUGUCCGAAUAAUCACUUAAAAAUGGUAUUCAACGUGGGUUCAAUUAUGAUCGGACUGAAUUGGCAUUUGACCUAACUUGCACUAUGCCUUAUUUAAUUAGCCAAAACAUCCAAUUCAACUCUAAAUAUCUUCAUUACACUUCCAAUAUUCCAAAUACACCAAAGUACCUCAAUGAGCUUAAUUGUGACUUAAUUCACCGUAACCGAAAUUCAUUUCGAUUUCGAAAUCUGAUACCAUAAAUCAUCAAUUACGAGCUAAUUAACAUGAAAUAUAAUACAAUCCAUUAUCAACAUGUCAUCUAAUAAAUUCGGCCAAAGAGGUUUAUUGAAGGGCAUGUCAUUUUCUUGCUUGUUUUUCCUUCCAAACAUCACAAAAUGACUAAAAACACUAGGAUAUUAUGAAAUCUAGCAAAAUUCAUUACCAAAACUUCUCUCGCUCGAUUUGGCCAGCAAAGGUUCCCUCUUGAAAACUUGAAUUUCAGCCAUGGAGAAUGAAAAAGAAUGCAUGGGAAAGGUAUAUCACCAGCUAAAAUAAAAAAAUCUUACCUUUACUUGCUUGAUUUCUUAAAAUCCAACAAUUUCUCUUGAAUUUUUCCUUCCUAGGGUUUGUUCUUCUCUUUUUCUCUUUGUUCCCUUGUUUGGCCGGC
Molecule: long non-coding RNA, 1943 nt
Filed under: Theobroma cacao (cacao)
Lineage: Eukaryota; Viridiplantae; Streptophyta; Magnoliopsida; Malvales; Malvaceae
Description: long non-coding RNA (TCAC_LNC006248)
Source: RNAcentral